UGGGGAAUAUUGGACAAUGGGCGGCAAGCCUGAUCCAGCCAUGCCGCGUGAGUGAUGAAGGCCCUAGGGUUGUAAAGCUCUUUCGCACGCGACGAUAAUGACGGUAGCGUGAGAAGAAGCCCCGGCUAACUUCGUGCCAGCAGCCGCGGUAAUACGAAGGGGGCUAGCGUUGCUCGGAAUCACUGGGCGUAAAGGGCGCGUAGGCGGCCGUUCAAGUCGGGGGUGAAGGCCUGUGGCUCAACCACAGAAUUGCCUUCGAUACUGGACGGCUCGAGACCGGAAGAGGUCAGUGGAACUGCGAGUGUAGAGGUGAAAUUCGUAGAUAUUCGCAAGAACACCAGUGGCGAAGGCGGCUGACUGGUCCGGUUCUGACGCUGAGGCGCGAAAGCGUGGGGAGCAAACAGGAUUAGAUACCCUGGUAGUCCACGCCGUAAACGAUGGAUGCUAGCCGUUGGCGCGCUUGCGCGUCAGUGGCG
RNAcentral lists this ribosomal RNA (476 nucleotides) under uncultured Pseudomonadota bacterium. RNAcentral describes it as "bacterial SSU rRNA". It matches the Rfam family "Bacterial small subunit ribosomal RNA", at positions 355 to 848 of the family's 1533-position model. Lineage: Bacteria; Pseudomonadati; Pseudomonadota. The record is from RNAcentral.